AUUGAACGCUGGCGGCAGGCCUAACACAUGCAAGUCGAGCGGAUGAAGGGAGCUUGCUCCUGGAUUCAGCGGCGGACGGGUGAGUAAUGCCUAGGAAUCUGCCUGGUAGUGGGGGAUAACGUCCGGAAACGGGCGCUAAUACCGCAUACGUCCUGAGGGAGAAAGUGGGGAACUUCGGAACUCCAGCUUACAGGAUAAGCCUAGGUCGGAUUAGCUAGUUGGUGGGGUAAAGGCCUACCAAGGCGACGAUCCGUAACUGGUCUGAGAGGAUGAUCAGUCACACUGGAACUGAGACACGGUCCAGACUCCUACGGGAGGCAGCAGUGGGGAAUAUUGGACAAUGGGCGAAAGCCUGAUCCAGCCAUGCCGCGUGUGUGAAGAAGGUCUUCGGAUUGUAAAGCACUUUAAGUUGGGAGGAAGGGCAGUAAGUUAAUACCUUGCUGUUUUGACGUUACCAACAGAAUAAGCACCGGCUAACUUCGUG
This 484-nucleotide ribosomal RNA is filed under the name uncultured bacterium. RNAcentral describes it as "partial 16S ribosomal RNA". It matches the Rfam family "Bacterial small subunit ribosomal RNA", at positions 30 to 507 of the family's 1533-position model. The record is from RNAcentral.